GGGUUGUGAGGUUAAGCGACUAAGCGUACACGGUGGAUGCCCUGGCAGUCAGAGGCGAUGAAGGACGUGCUAAUCUGCGAAAAGCGUCGGUAAGGUGAUAUGAACCGUUAUAACCGGCGAUGUCCGAAUGGGGAAACCCAGUGCAAUUCGUUGCACUAUCGUUAACUGAAUACAUAGGUUAACGAGGCGAACCGGGGGAACUGAAACAUCUAAGUACCCCGAGGAAAAGAAAUCAACCGAGAUUCCCCCAGUAGCGGCGAGCGAACGGGGAGCAGCCCAGAGUCUGAAUCAGCUUGUGUGUUAGUGGAACGGUCUGGAAAGUCCGACGGUACAGGGUGAUAGUCCCGUACACCAAAAUGCACAGGUUGUGAACUCGAAGAGUAGGGCGGGACACGUGGUAUCCUGUCUGAAUAUGGGGGGACCAUCCUCCAAGGCUAAAUACUCCUGACUGACCGAUAGUGAACCAGUACCGUGAGGGAAAGGCGAAAAGAACCCCGGCGAGGGGAGUGAAAAAGAACCUGAAACCGUGUACGUACAAGCAGUGGGAGCACCUUCGGGUGUGACUGCGUACCUUUUGUAUAAUGGGUCAGCGACUUAUAUUCUGUAGCAAGGUUAACCGUAUAGGGGAGCCGCAGGGAAACCGAGUCUUAACUGGGCGUUAAGUUGCAGGGUAUAGACCCGAAACCCGGUGAUCUAGCCAUGGGCAGGUUGAAGGUUGGGUAACACUAACUGGAGGACCGAACCGACUAAUGUUGAAAAAUUAGCGGAUGACUUGUGGCUGGGGGUGAAAGGCCAAUCAAACCGGGAGAUAGCUGGUUCUCCCCGAAAGCUAUUUAGGUAGCGCCUCGUGAACUCAUCUUCGGGGGUAGAGCACUGUUUCGGCUAGGGGGUCAUCCCGACUUACCAACCCGAUGCAAACUACGAAUACCGAAGAAUGUUAUCACGGGAGACACACGGCGGGUGCUAACGUCCGUCGUGAAGAGGGAAACAACCCAGACCGCCAGCUAAGGUCCCAAAGUCAUGGUUAAGUGGGAAACGAUGUGGGAAGGCACAGACAGCCAGGAUGUUGGCUUAGAAGCAGCCAUCAUUUAAAGAAAGCGUAAUAGCUCACUGGUCGAGUCGGCCUGCGCGGAAGAUGUAACGGGGCUAAACCAUGCACCGAAGCUGCGGCAGCGACACUAUGUGUUGUUGGGUAGGGGAGCGUUCUGUAAGCCUGCGAAGGUGUGCUGUGAGGCAUGCUGGAGGUAUCAGAAGUGCGAAUGCUGACAUAAGUAACGAUAAAGCGGGUGAAAAGCCCGCUCGCCGGAAGACCAAGGGUUCCUGUCCAACGUUAAUCGGGGCAGGGUGAGUCGACCCCUAAGGCGAGGCCGAAAGGCGUAGUCGAUGGGAAACAGGUUAAUAUUCCUGUACUUGGUGUUACUGCGAAGGGGGGACGGAGAAGGCUAUGUUAGCCGGGCGACGGUUGUCCCGGUUUAAGCAUGUAGGCUGGUUAUCCAGGCAAAUCCGGAUAAUCAAGGCUGAGGUGUGAUGACGAGGCACUACGGUGCUGAAGUAACAAAUGCCCUGCUUCCAGGAAAAGCCUCUAAGCAUCAGGUAACAUCAAAUCGUACCCCAAACCGACACAGGUGGUCAGGUAGAGAAUACCAAGGCGCUUGAGAGAACUCGGGUGAAGGAACUAGGCAAAAUGGUGCCGUAACUUCGGGAGAAGGCACGCUGGUGUGUAGGUGAAGUCCCUGCGGAUGGAGCUGAGACCAGUCGAAGAUACCAGCUGGCUGCAACUGUUUAUUAAAAACACAGCACUGUGCAAACACGAAAGUGGACGUAUACGGUGUGACGCCUGCCCGGUGCCGGAAGGUUAAUUGAUGGGGUUAUCCGUAAGGAGAAGCUCUUGAUCGAAGCCCCGGUAAACGGCGGCCGUAACUAUAACGGUCCUAAGGUAGCGAAAUUCCUUGUCGGGUAAGUUCCGACCUGCACGAAUGGCGUAAUGAUGGCCAGGCUGUCUCCACCCGAGACUCAGUGAAAUUGAACUCGCUGUGAAGAUGCAGUGUACCCGCGGCAAGACGGAAAGACCCCGUGAACCUUUACUAUAGCUUGACACUGAACAUUGAGCCUUGAUGUGUAGGAUAGGUGGGAGGCUUUGAAGCGUGGACGCCAGUCUGCGUGGAGCCAACCUUGAAAUACCACCCUUUAAUGUUUGAUGUUCUAACGUUGGCCCCUGACCGGGGUUGCGGACAGUGUCUGGUGGGUAGUUUGACUGGGGCGGUCUCCUCCCAAAGCGUAACGGAGGAGCACGAAGGUUAGCUAAUCCUGGUCGGACAUCAGGAGGUUAGUGCAAUGGCAUAAGCUAGCUUGACUGCGAGCGUGACGGCGCGAGCAGGUGCGAAAGCAGGUCAUAGUGAUCCGGUGGUUCUGAAUGGAAGGGCCAUCGCUCAACGGAUAAAAGGUACUCCGGGGAUAACAGGCUGAUACCGCCCAAGAGUUCAUAUCGACGGCGGUGUUUGGCACCUCGAUGUCGGCUCAUCACAUCCUGGGGCUGAAGUAGGUCCCAAGGGUAUGGCUGUUCGCCAUUUAAAGUGGUACGCGAGCUGGGUUUAGAACGUCGUGAGACAGUUCGGUCCCUAUCUGCCGUGGGCGCUGGAGAAUUGAGGGGGGCUGCUCCUAGUACGAGAGGACCGGAGUGGACGCAUCACUGGUGUUCGGGUUGUCAUGCCAAUGGCACUGCCCGGUAGCUAAAUGCGGAAGAGAUAAGUGCUGAAAGCAUCUAAGCACGAAACUUGCCCCGAGAUGAGUUCUCCCUGAGACUUUAAGUCUCCUGAAGGAACGUUGAAGACGAUGACGUUGAUAGGCCGGGUGUGUAAGCGCAGCGAUGCGUUGAGCUAACCGGUACUAAUGAACCGUGAGGCUUAACCUUACAACGCCGAAG
Molecule: ribosomal RNA, 2923 nt
Filed under: Klebsiella pneumoniae
Lineage: Bacteria; Pseudomonadati; Pseudomonadota; Gammaproteobacteria; Enterobacterales; Enterobacteriaceae
Description: bacterial LSU rRNA
Rfam family: Bacterial large subunit ribosomal RNA
Source: RNAcentral